UACGUAGGGUGCAAGCGUUGUCCGGAAUUAUUGGGCGUAAAGAGCUCGUAGGCGGUUUGUUGCGUCGGCUGUGAAAUCCCGAGGCUCAACCUCGGGUCUGCAGUCGAUACGAGCAAACUAGAGUGUUGCAGGGGAGACUGGAAUUCCUGGUGUAGCGGUGGAAUGCGCAGAUAUCAGGAGGAACACCGAUGGCGAAGGCAGAUCUCUGGGCCGUAACUGACGCUGAGGAGCGAAAGCAUGGGGAGCGAACAGG
RNAcentral lists this ribosomal RNA (253 nucleotides) under uncultured bacterium. RNAcentral's name for it is "partial 16S ribosomal RNA". It matches the Rfam family "Bacterial small subunit ribosomal RNA", at positions 524 to 776 of the family's 1533-position model. The record is from RNAcentral.